RNAcentral lists this ribosomal RNA (369 nucleotides) under uncultured bacterium. Its description in RNAcentral is "bacterial SSU rRNA". It matches the Rfam family "Bacterial small subunit ribosomal RNA", at positions 1021 to 1391 of the family's 1533-position model. The record is from RNAcentral.
GCAGGAACUUGAACCAGGUGCUGCAUGGCUGUCGUCAGCUCGUGUCGUGAGAUGUUGGGUUAAGUCCCGCAACGAGCGCAACCCUUGUCAUUAGUUGCCAUCAUUUAGUUGGGCACUCUAAUGAGACUGCCGGUGACAAACCGGAGGAAGGUGGGGAUGACAUCAAGUCCUCAUGGCCCUUAUGGGUAGGGCUUCACACGUCAUACAAUGGUCGGUACAGAGGGUCGCUAACCCGCGAGGGGGUGCCAAUCUCACAAAGCCGAUCGUAGUCCGGAUCGUAGUCUGCAACUCGACUACGUGAAGUCGGAAUCGCUAGUAAUCGCGGAUCAGAAUGCCGCGGUGAAUACGUUCCCGGGUCUUGUACACACC